CACGGGGGGAGCAAGCGUUGUUCGGAAUCACUGGGCGUAAAGAGCUCGUAGGCGGUUUGUCGCGUCUGCUGUGAAAACCUAAGGCUCAACCUUGGGCUUGCAGUGGGUACGGGCAGACUAGAGUGCGGUAGGGGUGACUGGAAUUCCUGGUGUAGCGGUGGAAUGCGCAGAUAUCAGGAGGAACACCGAUGGCGAAGGCAGGUCACUGGGCCGCAACUGACGCUGAGGAGCGAAAGCAUGGGGAGCGAACAGG
This 253-nucleotide ribosomal RNA is filed under the name uncultured bacterium. Its description in RNAcentral is "partial 16S ribosomal RNA". It matches the Rfam family "Bacterial small subunit ribosomal RNA", at positions 524 to 776 of the family's 1533-position model. The record is from RNAcentral.